Molecule: ribosomal RNA, 216 nt
Filed under: uncultured bacterium
Lineage: Bacteria
Description: partial 16S ribosomal RNA
Rfam family: Bacterial small subunit ribosomal RNA
Source: RNAcentral
CGUAGGUAACCUGCCCUGGAGUGGGGGAUAACGCACCGAAAGGUGUGCUAAUACCGCAUAAUCUCUACGGAGAAAAGCAGGGGAUCGCAAGACCUUGCGCUCUUGGAGCGGCCGAUGUCUGAUUAGCUAGUUGGUGAGGUAAAGGCUUACCAAGGCGACGAUCAGUAGCUGGUCUGAGAGGACGACCAGCCACACUGGCACUGACAUACGGGCCAG